This 68-nucleotide transfer RNA is filed under the name bovine gut metagenome. It matches the Rfam family "tRNA", at positions 5 to 66 of the family's 71-position model. From Rfam's summary of the family: Transfer RNA (tRNA) molecules are approximately 80 nucleotides in length. Their secondary structure includes four short double-helical elements and three loops (D, anti-codon, and T loops). The record is from RNAcentral.
GCGUAGCUCAGUAGGAUUAGAGCACUGGCUUCCGAAGCCAGCGGUCGCAGGUUCAAAUCCUGCCGCGC